RNAcentral lists this ribosomal RNA (468 nucleotides) under uncultured bacterium. RNAcentral's name for it is "partial 16S ribosomal RNA". It matches the Rfam family "Bacterial small subunit ribosomal RNA", at positions 28 to 507 of the family's 1533-position model. The record is from RNAcentral.
GACGAACGCUGGCGGCGUGCUUAACACAUGCAAGUCGAACGGAAAGGCCCUGCUUUUGUGGGGUGCUCGAGUGGCGAACGGGUGAGUAACACGUGAGUAACCUGCCCUUGACUUUGGGAUAACUUCAGGAAACUGGGGCUAAUACCGGAUAGGAGCCCCUGCUGCAUGGUGGGGGUUGGAAAGUUUCGGCGGUUGGGGAUGGACUCGCGGCUUAUCAGCUUGUUGGUGGGGUAGUUGCUUACCAAGGCUUUGACGGGUAGCCGGCAUGAGAGGGUGACCGGCCACAUUGAGACUGAGAUACGGCCCAGACUCCUACAGGAGGCAGCAGUAGGGAAUAUUGCACAGUGGGAGGAAGCCGGAUACAGCAACGCCGCGUGCGGGAUGACGGCCUUCGGGUUGUAAACCGCUUUCGCCUGUGACGAAGCUUGAGUGACGGUAAUGAGUAAAGAAGCACCGGCUAACUACGUG